Molecule: ribosomal RNA, 507 nt
Filed under: uncultured bacterium
Lineage: Bacteria
Description: bacterial SSU rRNA
Rfam family: Bacterial small subunit ribosomal RNA
Source: RNAcentral
UCAGGAUGAACGCUAGCUACAGGCUUAACACAUGCAAGUCGAGGGGCGAGCAUGUUGGUUGCUUGCAACCAAUGAUGGCGACCGGCGCACGGGUGAGUAACGCGUAUCCAACCUUCCCCUUAGUAGAGGAUAGCCCGGCGAAAGUCGGAUUAAUACUCUAUGUUCUUCAAUGCGGACAUCUAAGUUGAAGCAAAGAUUUAUCGCUAAGGGAUGGGGAUGCGUCUGAUUAGGUUGCAGGCGGGGUAACGGCCCACCUGGCCUACGAUCAGUAGGGGUUCUGAGAGGAAGGUCCCCCACACUGGUACUGAGACACGGACCAGACUCCUACGGGAGGCAGCAGUGAGGAAUAUUGGUCAAUGGGCGCGAGCCUGAACCAGCCAAGUAGCGUGCAAGGACGACUGCCCUAUGGGUUGUAAACUGCUUUUAUCAGGGAAUAAAGUGAGGCACGCGUGCCUUUUUGUAUGUACCUGAUGAAUAAGGACCGGCUAAUUCCGUGCCAGCCGCUGC